GUAGAUAGAUGCUCGCUGGUUUGAGUGCUUAGCUGUUAACUAAGAGUUUAAAGGAUCGAGGCCUUUCUAUCUAG
This 74-nucleotide transfer RNA is filed under the name Pollachius virens (saithe). Its description in RNAcentral is "transfer RNA-Asn". Lineage: Eukaryota; Metazoa; Chordata; Actinopteri; Gadiformes; Gadidae. The record is from RNAcentral. RNAcentral also lists the same sequence under 1 other name.